RNAcentral lists this ribosomal RNA (427 nucleotides) under uncultured bacterium. Its description in RNAcentral is "bacterial SSU rRNA". It matches the Rfam family "Bacterial small subunit ribosomal RNA", at positions 355 to 774 of the family's 1533-position model. The record is from RNAcentral.
UGGGGAAUUUUGGACAAUGGGCGCAAGCCUGAUCCAGCAAUGCCGCGUGCAGGAUGAAGGCCUUCGGGUUGUAAACUGCUUUUGUACGGAGCGAAAAGGUCUGCCCUAAUACGGUGGGCUCAUGACGGUACCGUAAGAAUAAGCACCGGCUAACUACGUGCCAGCAGCCGCGGUAAUACGUAGGGUGCAAGCGUUAAUCGGAAUUACUGGGCGUAAAGCGUGCGCAGGCGGUUAUGCAAGACAGAGGUGAAAUCCCCGGGCUCAACCUGGGACCUGCAUUUGUGACUGUAUAGCUAGAGUACGGUAGAGGGGGAUGGAAUUCCGCGUGUAGCAGUGAAAUGCGUAGAUAUGCGGAGGAACACUGAUGGCGAAGGCAAUCCCCUGGACCUGUACUGACGCUCAUGCACGAAAGCGUGGGGAGCAAACA